Molecule: ribosomal RNA, 440 nt
Filed under: uncultured bacterium
Lineage: Bacteria
Description: partial 16S ribosomal RNA
Rfam family: Bacterial small subunit ribosomal RNA
Source: RNAcentral
CCUACGGGUGGCAGCAGUGGGGGAUAUUGCACAAUGGGGGAAACCCUGAUGCAGCAACGCCGCGUGAGUGAUGAAGGGCUUCGGGGUGUAAAGCUCUAUCUUCAGGGACGAAGAUGACGGUACCUGAGGAGGAAGCCACGGCUAACUACGUGCCAGCAGCCGCGGUAAUACGUAGGGGGCGAGCGUUGUCCGGAUUUACUGGGCGUAAAGGGGGCGUAGGCGGCAGUUUAAGUGAGAUGUGAAAUACCCGGGCCCAACUUCGGGGCUGCAUUUGAAACUGGAUGUCUAGAGUGCAGGAGAGGAGAAUGGAAUUCCUAGUGUAGCGGUGAAAUGCGUAGAGAUUAGGAAGAACACCAGUGGCGAAGGCGAUUCUCUGGACUGUAACUGACGCUGAGGCUCGAAAGCGUGGGGAGCAAACAGGAUUAGAUACCCCUGUAGUC